AAGGUUAUCAACGAGGUACAGGGGAGCUGGGAAGGCAUUAGUCAUUGUCACAAGACAAGUUCUCUAUAAAUCACAGGUUACCAAGAAUUCUGUGUUCCACCCAAAACAGUGACAUGAUGACAACAAAGACUGAGAGCGUACAAGCAGCAAAAGAAUAAGCAACUCUGUCGGUCCUGUUGAUAAGUGAUGUAUAGCCAUAACUCAGGCCACCAAAGACUUUAUGGCCAUAAACUUACCACUAUUCAUUAUCAGGCAGCUCCUCAUCUAGACCACUCUGAGCAAUUCUAUAGUACAGGAUAGCCAUGGUUGCCAUGCAAGCCCUGCACGUAAGAAAGUAGAGAAGUUUCAUGUCUACCAAAAACUAAACUAAUGAUAAUGAUAAUAAUAAACAUAACAACCUUUACAUUUUCAUCUGACAACUAGCUUUGACCUGAAUCUAUAGGUAAGCUUAGGGUGUUAGCUAUGUGUAAGAAGCAGAAUUCAACAGAAUAAAUUUGAUCAAGAAAGGGAGCAAUAAAAUGGGGAAACCAAGAAUCAGAGUUAGCAUUACAUGAUUGCUAUAAUGAGGAGGAGUUUUCUUGGAUCCAUUCUUGAAGACUUAUGAUGGCGCUGACGACCUUCAGGGACUUCAUCAGUAUUUGAAGCAUCUUUUCGU
Molecule: long non-coding RNA, 655 nt
Filed under: Nicotiana tabacum (common tobacco)
Lineage: Eukaryota; Viridiplantae; Streptophyta; Magnoliopsida; Solanales; Solanaceae
Description: long non-coding RNA (NTAB_LNC017406)
Source: RNAcentral